UAGAAUGCAGUCGACGGGGAUAGCAAUAUCCUAGUGGCGAACGGUCGCGUAACACGUAGGCAACCUGCCCAAAAGUGGGGGACAACAGCCUGAAAGGGCUGCUAAUACCGCAUGUGGCUCCCUAGUGGCAUCACUUUGGAUCUAAAGCUUAAUGCGCUUUUGGAUGGGCUUGCGGCCUAUCAGGUAGUUGGUGGGGUAAUGGCCUACCAAGCCGACGACGGGUAGCUGGUCUGAGAGGACGAUCAGCCGGAUUGGGACUGAGAUACGGCCCAGACUCCUACGGGGGGCAGCAAUUAGGAAUCUUGCGCAAUAGGGGCAACCCUGACGCAGCGACGCCGCGUGCGGGAUGAAGGCAUUCGUGUCGUAAACCGCUUUUUACGGGGAAGAAGCAUUUGACGGUACCCGUCGAAUAAGCCCCGGCUAACUACGUGCCAGCAGCCGCGGUAAUACGUAGGGGGCGAGCGUUGUCCGAAGUUACUGGGCGUAAAGCGCGCGUAGGCGGCCAUUUAAGUUCGGGGUGAAAGGUUCAACGCUCAACGUGAACAGUGCCUUGAAUACUGGGUGGCUUGAGUUCGGGAGAGGGCAGUGGAAUUCCUGGUGUAGCGGUGAAAUGCGUAGAUAUCAGGAGGAACACCGAUGGCGAAGGCAGCUGCCUGGCCUAGAACUGACGCUGAGGUGCGAAAGCGUGGGGAGCGAACAGGAUUAGAUACCCUGGUAGUCCACGCCGUAAACGAUGAGUGCUAGGUGUUCGGGGUAUCGACCCCCCGGGUGCGCGCUAACGCAGUAAGCACUCCGCCUGGGGGAGUACGCGCAG
RNAcentral lists this ribosomal RNA (814 nucleotides) under uncultured bacterium. RNAcentral's name for it is "bacterial SSU rRNA". It matches the Rfam family "Bacterial small subunit ribosomal RNA", at positions 51 to 889 of the family's 1533-position model. The record is from RNAcentral.